This 250-nucleotide ribosomal RNA is filed under the name uncultured bacterium. RNAcentral's name for it is "partial 16S ribosomal RNA". It matches the Rfam family "Bacterial small subunit ribosomal RNA", at positions 524 to 773 of the family's 1533-position model. The record is from RNAcentral.
UACGGAGGGUGCAAGCGUUAUCCGGAUUCACUGGGUUUAAAGGGUGCGUAGGUGGGCAAGUAAGUCAGUGGUGAAAUCUCCGGGCUUAACCCGGAAACUGCCAUUGAUACUAUUUGUCUUGAAUACUGUGGAGGUCAGCGGAAUAUGUCAUGUAGCGGUGAAAUGCUUAGAUAUGACAUAGAACACCAAUUGCGAAGGCAGCUGGCUACACAAAUAUUGACACUGAGGCACGAAAGCGUGGGGAUCAAAC